GUGCUUGCUUUGGCAGAACAUGUACUAAAACUGGAAUGAUGCAGAGAAGAUUAGCAUGACCCCUGCGCGAGGAUGACACGCAAAUUCGUGAAGUGUUCCAUCUUUUU
Molecule: small nuclear RNA, 107 nt
Organism: Hippopotamus amphibius kiboko
Lineage: Eukaryota; Metazoa; Chordata; Mammalia; Artiodactyla; Hippopotamidae
Source: RefSeq, a predicted model, not a curated record